GAAUAUUGCACAAUGGGCGCAAGCCUGAUGCAGCGACGCCGCGUGGGGGCUGACGGCCUUUGGGGUGUAAACUCCUUUCGACAGGGACGAAACGUUAAAGUGACGGUACCUGUAGAAGAAGCACCGUCUAACCACCUGCCAGCAGCCGCGGUAACACGUAGGGUGCGAGCGUUGUCCGGAAUUACUGGGCGUAAAGAGCUCGUAGGUGGUUUGUUGCGUCGUCUGUGAAAUCCCGGGGCUUAACCUCGGGCGUGCAGGCGAUACGGGCAUAACUUGAGUGCUGUAGGGGAGACUGGAAUUCCUGGUGUAGCGGUGAAAUGCGCAGAUAUCAGGAGGAACACCAAUGGCGAAGGCAGGUCUCUGGGCAGUAACUGACGCUAGGGAGCGAAAGCAUGGGUAGCGAAC
This 405-nucleotide ribosomal RNA is filed under the name uncultured bacterium. RNAcentral describes it as "partial 16S ribosomal RNA". It matches the Rfam family "Bacterial small subunit ribosomal RNA", at positions 359 to 773 of the family's 1533-position model. The record is from RNAcentral.